UACGUAGGGCUCGAGCGUUGUCCGGAUUUAUUGGGCGUAAAGAGCAUGUAGGUGGUUACCUAAGUCGGUUUUCAAAGUCCGGGGCUUAACUCCGGUUCUGGAAUCGAUACUGGGUAACUCUGAGUAUAGUAGGGGCAAGCGGAACUCCCGGUGUAGCAGUGAAAUGCGUUGAUAUCGGGAAGAACACCAAUGGCGAAGGCAGCUUGCUAGGCUAUUUCUGACACUGAGAUGCGAAAGCGUGGGGAGCGAA
This 250-nucleotide ribosomal RNA is filed under the name uncultured bacterium. RNAcentral's name for it is "partial 16S ribosomal RNA". It matches the Rfam family "Bacterial small subunit ribosomal RNA", at positions 524 to 772 of the family's 1533-position model. The record is from RNAcentral.